This 407-nucleotide ribosomal RNA is filed under the name uncultured bacterium. RNAcentral describes it as "bacterial SSU rRNA". It matches the Rfam family "Bacterial small subunit ribosomal RNA", at positions 28 to 419 of the family's 1533-position model. The record is from RNAcentral.
GACGAACGCUGGCGGCGUGCUUAACACAUGCAAGUCGUGCGGUAAGGCCCUGCUUUGGUGGGGUACACGAGCGGCGAACGGGUGAGUAACACGUGGGUGACCUGCCUUCAGCUUUGGGAUAAGCCUGGGAAACUGGGUCUAAUACCGGAUAUGACCUUGGGGUGCAUGCCUUGGGGUGGAAAGCCUGUGUUGUUUGGCAUGGGGUGGCUGGGGAUGGGCCCGCGGUCUAUCAGCUUGUUGGNGGGGUGAUGGCCUACCAAGGCGACGACGGGUAGCCGGCCUGAGAGGGCGUUCGGCCACACUGGGACUGAGACACGGCCCAGACUCCUACGGGAGGCAGCAGUGGGGAAUAUUGCGCAAUGGGCGGAAGCCUGACGCAGCGACGCCGCGUGGGGAUGACGGCCUGG